This 107-nucleotide small RNA is filed under the name Marmota monax (woodchuck). Lineage: Eukaryota; Metazoa; Chordata; Mammalia; Rodentia; Sciuridae. The record is from RNAcentral.
AUUGGGUGCAGUUUUGUACACCUGUAAUCCCAGCUACUUGGGAGGCUGAGACAGGAUGAUCGUAAGUUCAAGGCCAACUUCAGCAACUUAGCAAGAACCUGUCUCAA